Molecule: ribosomal RNA, 448 nt
Filed under: uncultured Flavobacterium sp.
Lineage: Bacteria; Pseudomonadati; Bacteroidota; Flavobacteriia; Flavobacteriales; Flavobacteriaceae
Description: bacterial SSU rRNA
Rfam family: Bacterial small subunit ribosomal RNA
Source: RNAcentral
GCGGGCGGGGCGGGGGCACGGGGGGCCUACGGGAGGCAGCAGUGAGGAAUAUUGGGCAAUGGGCGGAAGCCUGACCCAGCCAUGCCGCGUGCAGGAAGACGGUCCUAUGGAUUGUAAACUGCUUUUAUACGGGAAGAAACACUCCCUCGUGAGGGAGCUUGACGGUACCGUAAGAAUAAGGAUCGGCUAACUCCGUGCCAGCAGCCGCGGUAAUACGGAGGAUCCAAGCGUUAUCCGGAAUCAUUGGGUUUAAAGGGUCCGUAGGCGGCCUUAUAAGUCAGUGGUGAAAUCUCCUAGCUCAACUAGGAAACUGCCAUUGAUACUGUAGGGCUUGAAUAAUUAGGAAGUAACUAGAAUAUGUAGUGUAGCGGUGAAAUGCUUAGAUAUUACAUGGAAUACCAAUUGCGAAGGCAGGUUACUACUAAUUUAUGACGCUGAUGACGAAAGC